Molecule: long non-coding RNA, 132 nt
Organism: Nanorana parkeri
Lineage: Eukaryota; Metazoa; Chordata; Amphibia; Anura; Dicroglossidae
Exons: 3
Source: RefSeq, a predicted model, not a curated record
UACAGCUCCCGAAAUGAUGUUUCCUCUCCAAACAAUGUCACUUUUGGAUUAAAAGGGAUGUUUAACCUCUUUUGGGAAUGGAAACCUUUUAGUUCAGAUUGCUCAAUAAGUUAUGUUAAAGAGAUGAAGUCA